Long non-coding RNA from Pseudophryne corroboree (corroboree frog), 1010 nucleotides. RefSeq lists it as uncharacterized. The transcript has 4 exons. Lineage: Eukaryota; Metazoa; Chordata; Amphibia; Anura; Myobatrachidae. The record is from RefSeq and is a predicted model, not a curated record.
AUCCCCUUAAGAUGUGAUUCUAAUACUCUAUUAAGUUUAAUACAGACUAGAGGGUGGUAGAUCCAUAUAUUCCAGUGGGAAGUAAUUUAGAACAUUGGAAGAACCAAUUAAUUAAACUCCAUUGAUUACUAACAAUCUUAAGUGAUAUAAUAUAACAAUCCAGAUAUAAGGAGCCUUUUUUGAGCUCCUAGAUCUUUCCUCUCUCCCUGACUGACGUGAAUGGUUAAUCCAGUGAUAAACUGCAGUAGAGUGUUAUCCACUGGACUUUUUUUCUUGUACACAUUUCUACAUAUAAAUCAGUCAUUUAUGCUGUGAGAAGAGGAAGCUUUUUUCCAAAUUGUUUCCAAGAUUUCCGAUUGGGUCUGGUUUGACCUUCUGUUGCUGAUACAGACCUUGCCUCACAAAGUAACAAGCCUCUAUCUCCAAGAGUUGACCCUCUGGAAAGAGAAGAUGAUGGGCAUUCACUUUACAUUUGUUUCCCGACACACCACUGCAGCCCCAAACUUUGAGUCCACCCAGCACAGACUUACAGGAGCCAACAAGACAAGCAGGAGCUGAUGCUGCCUCUAACUUACUGUCCUACAUGGCUUCAGUCCAUGAGCGGCAUAUUGUACUCUUAGACACAGGAAUGAAGCACUUGUCACAAAUUUGUUGUCAGUUGCGAAAAAGUGAAAGUACUCUUUCUCAAAUGAAUGCAAAUUUCAUGGUUUGAAAUGAAAAUGUUUAUACUCAAAAUCAAAAUGUCAGCCAGAUUAAGGGGUAUAUUCAAUUGAAGUUGAAAACUGCCUUCUGUCGAAAAGACGUCAGUUUUCGACUUUUUAAGGUCGAAUCCUGAUUCGAUCUAUUCAAUAUAUCCCUAAAUUUUUCGACAAGUCGAAUUCAUUGGAAUAGCUGCCAAUCCACAUGCUUGUGUCGAAAAUGGGGCAAUAACCAACAGGUUUUGGCCCCCUUUUCGACCAUCUCAGUCCGACAUCAAAAAGAUGUCGGACUGUGAUGCGGACCCAGAGGAG